RNAcentral lists this ribosomal RNA (365 nucleotides) under Valenzuela badiostigma. RNAcentral describes it as "partial 12S rRNA". The record is from RNAcentral. Lineage: Eukaryota; Metazoa; Arthropoda; Insecta; Psocodea; Caeciliusidae.
CCCUAUUAUAUUUACAAUUAUAUAUUAUUAUGAGGUAGUAUAUGUUAAAUUCAGGAAACUUAAAGAAUUUGGCGGUGUUUAUUCAUAUUAGAGGAAUAUGUUUUAUAAAUGAUAGUCCCCAAAAAUCUUACUUAAUUUAGGUAUUUUGUAUAUCUCCGUCUUAAAAAAUUUUUUAAAAAUAUAUUUUAAAUAGCUUUAAGGUUAAAAGUCAGGUCAAGGUGCAGAUUAUAAUUAAGAAAAAAUGUAUUACAAUAAAAUUAUUUGUGGAAUUAUUAUGAAUUGUAUAGUAAGGAAAUUGGAUUUAAUAGUAAAAGUUUUUUUAUAAUAAACUUUGAAUUUAGUAAAUAAAUAUGCACACAUCGCCC